Molecule: ribosomal RNA, 253 nt
Filed under: uncultured bacterium
Lineage: Bacteria
Description: partial 16S ribosomal RNA
Rfam family: Bacterial small subunit ribosomal RNA
Source: RNAcentral
GACAGAAGCCUCAAGCGUUAGGCGGAAUCACUGGGCUUAAAGCGUGUGUAGGCGGAUGCCUAAGUACCUUGUGAAAUCCCACGGCUCAACCGUGGAACUGCUGGGUAUACUGGGCGUCUUGGGCCAUUCAGGGGCGACUGGAACAAGCGGUGGAGCGGUGAAAUGCGUAGAUAUCGCUUGGAACGCCGAAGGUGAAAACAGGUCGCUGGGGAUGUGCCGACGCUGAGACACGAAAGCCAGGGGAGCAAACAGG